GACGAACGCUGGCGGCGCGCUUAACACAUGCAAGUCGAACGGAAAGGCCUGCUUUCCCUUGUGGAUUGCGGGUACUCGAGUGGCGAACGGGUGAGUAACACGUGAGUGAUCUGCCCCCAACUUGGGUAUAAGCCUGGGAAACUGGGUCUAAUUCCCGAUAGGACUGCAGGGUGGUGCCUGUGGUGGAAAACGAUUUUCUAGUGGUUGGGGAUGAGCUCGCGGCCUAUCAGCUUGUUGGUGGGGUAAUGGCCUACCAAGGCGGCGACGGGUAGCCGGCCUGGGAGGGUGGACGGCCACAUUGGACUGAGAUACGGCCCAGACUCCUACGGGAGGCAGCAGUGGGGAAUAUUGCACAAUGGGCGGAAGCCUGAUGCAGCGACGCCGCGUGGGGGAUGACGGCCUUCGGGUUGUAAACUCCUUUCGACCGCGAGGAAGCCACCUGGUUGGAAGGGUGGUGACGGUAGUGGUAGAAGAAGCACCGGCUAACUACGUG
RNAcentral lists this ribosomal RNA (493 nucleotides) under uncultured bacterium. Its description in RNAcentral is "partial 16S ribosomal RNA". It matches the Rfam family "Bacterial small subunit ribosomal RNA", at positions 28 to 507 of the family's 1533-position model. The record is from RNAcentral.